CGAAAUGCGAUAAGUAAUGUGAAUUGCAGAAUUCAGUGAAUCAUCGAAUCUUUGAACGCACCUUGCGCUCCUUGGUAUUCCUUGGAGCAUGCCUGUUUGAGUAUCAUGAAAUCUUCAAAGUAAAUCUUUUGUUAACUCAAUUGGUUUCUACUUUGGUAUUGGAGGUCUUUGCAGCUUCACACCUGCUCCUCUUUGUUCAUUAGCUGGAUCUCAGUGUUAUGCUUGGUUCCACUCGGCGUGAUAAGUUAUCUAUCGCUGAGGACACUGUAAAAGGUGGCCAAGGUAAAUGCAGAUGAACCGCUUCUAAUAGUCCAUUGACUUGGACAAUACUUUUAUGAUCUGAUCUCAAAUCAGGUAGGACUACCAGCUGAACUUAAGC
Molecule: unclassified non-coding RNA, 379 nt
Filed under: plant metagenome
Description: partial contains 5.8S ribosomal RNA, internal transcribed spacer 2, and large subunit ribosomal RNA
Rfam family: 5.8S ribosomal RNA (bases 1-106)
Source: RNAcentral